UGGUAAUGCCGGAUGUUCCAGUUGAUCGCAUGGUCUUCUGGGAAAGCUUUCGCGGUAUGGGAUGGGGUCGCGUCCUAUCAGCUUGACGGCGGGGUAACGGCCCACCGUGGCUUCGACGGGUAGCCGGCCUGAGAGGGCGACCGGCCACAUUGGGACUGAGAUACGGCCCAGACUCCUACGGGAGGCAGCAGUGGGGAAUAUUGCACAAUGGGCGCAAGCCUGAUGCAGCGACGCCGCGUGAGGGAUGGAGGCCUUCGGGUUGUAAACCUCUUUUAUCGGGGAGCAAGCGAGAGUGAGUUUACCCGUUGAAUAAGCACCGGCUAACUACGUGCCAGCAGCCGCGGUAAUACGUAGGGUGCAAGCGUUAUCCGGAAUUAUUGGGCGUAAAGGGCUCGUAGGCGGUUCGUCGCGUCCGGUGUGAAAGUCCAUCGCUUAACGGUGGAUCCGCGCCGGGUACGGGCGGGCUUGAGUGCGGUAGGGGAGACUGGAAUUCCCGGUGUAACGGUGGAAUGUGUAGAUAUC
RNAcentral lists this ribosomal RNA (522 nucleotides) under Bifidobacterium longum subsp. infantis. Its description in RNAcentral is "bacterial SSU rRNA". It matches the Rfam family "Bacterial small subunit ribosomal RNA", at positions 161 to 698 of the family's 1533-position model. The record is from RNAcentral. RNAcentral also lists the same sequence under 1 other name. Lineage: Bacteria; Bacillati; Actinomycetota; Actinomycetes; Bifidobacteriales; Bifidobacteriaceae.